AGCAGCCGCGGUAAUUCCAGCUCCAAUAGCGUAUAUUAAAGUUGUUGCAGUUAAAAAGCUCGUAGUUGAAUUUCGGGAUCAAUAUAUCGGUCGUGCCUUGGUACGUACUGGUAUCAUUGGUCUCUCCUUUCUGACGAACCAUGAUGUCAUUAAUUUGGUGUUAUGGGAAGUUAGGACUGUUACUUUGAAAAAAUUAGAGUGUUUAAAGCAGGCUUUAGCUUGAAUACAUUAGCAUGGAAUAAUGAAAUAGGACGUUCGAACCUAUUUGUUGGUUUCUAGGAUCAACGUAAUGAUUAAUAGGGAUAGUUGGGGGCAUUAGUAUUCAAUUGUCAGGGGUGAAAUUCUUGGAUUUA
RNAcentral lists this ribosomal RNA (353 nucleotides) under uncultured Glomus. Its description in RNAcentral is "SSU rRNA". It matches the Rfam family "Eukaryotic small subunit ribosomal RNA", at positions 569 to 928 of the family's 1831-position model. The record is from RNAcentral. Lineage: Eukaryota; Fungi; Glomeromycota; Glomeromycetes; Glomerales; Glomeraceae.